RNAcentral lists this ribosomal RNA (1421 nucleotides) under uncultured bacterium. RNAcentral describes it as "partial 16S ribosomal RNA". It matches the Rfam family "Bacterial small subunit ribosomal RNA". The record is from RNAcentral.
AGGGUUUGAUCCUGGCUCAGGAUGAACGCUGGCGGUAUGCUUAACACAUGCAAGUCGAACGAAAGUUUUCCAACUUUAGUGGCGAACGGGUGCGUAAUACGUGAGAAUCUACCCUUAGGAGGAGAAUAACUGCUGGAAACGGCUGCUAAGUCUCCAUAUGCCGAGAGGUGAAAUAGUUUUACUGCCUAAGGAUGAGCUCACGCCUGAUUAGCUUGUUGGUAAGGUAAAGGCUUACCAAGGCCACGAUCAGUAGCUGGUUUGAGAGAACGAUCAGCCACACUGGGACUGAGACACGGCCCAGACUCCUCCGGGAGGCAGCAGUGAGGAAUUUUCCGCAAUGGGCGAAAGCCUGACGGAGCAAUACCGCGUGAGGGAUGAAGGAUUUUGGUCUGUAAACCUCUUUUCUCAAGAAAGAAGUUCUGACGGUACUUGAGGAAUAAGCAUCGGCUAACUCCGUGCCAGCAGCCGCGGUAAUACGGGGGAUGCAAGCGUUAUCCGGAAUCAUUGGGCGUAAAGCGCCUGUAGGUUGUUUAAUAAGUCUGUUGUUAAAGACUGGGGCUUAACCCCAGGAAAGCAAUGGAAACUACUAGACUAGAGUAUGGUAGGGGUAAAGGGAAUUUCUAGUGUAGCGGUGAAAUGCGUAGAUAUUAGAAAGAACACCGGUGGCGAAAGCGCUUUACUGGACCAUUACUGACACUCAGAGGCGAAAGCUAGGGUAGCCAAAGGGAUUAGAUACCCCUGUAGUCCUAGCCGUAAACGAUGGAUACUAGAUGUUGCGCUUAUUGUGCAGUGUCGUAGCUAACGCGUUAAGUAUCCCGCCUGGGGAGUACGCUCGCAAGGGUGAAACUCAAAGGAAUUGACGGGGGCCCGCACAAGCGGUGGAGCAUGUGGUUUAAUUCGAUGCAACGCGAAGAACCUUACCAGGGCUUGACAUACUGCAAAUUUUCUUGAAAGAGAAAAGUGCCUUCGGGAAUGCAGAUACAGGUGGUGCAUGGCUGUCGUCAGCUCGUGUCGUGAGAUGUUGGGUUAAGUCCCGCAACGAGCGCAACCCUCGUUUUUAGUUGCCAUUUUAUGGGUUCUCUAGAAAGACUGCCGGUGACAAACCGGAGGAAGGUGUGGAUGACGUCAAGUCCUCAUGGCCCUUACGGGUUGGGCUACACACGUGCUACAAUGGCAUCUACAGUGGGUUAAUCCCCAAAAGAUGUCUCAGUUCGGAUUGUCGUCUGCAACUCGACGGCAUGAAGUCGGAAUCGCUAGUAAUCGCGUAACAGCAUGACGCGGUGAAUACGUUCCCGGGCCUUGUACACACCGCCCGUCACACCAUGGGAGUUGGUUCUACCCGACGGCCGUGCGCUAACUUUUGAGGCAGCGGACCACGGUAGGAUCAGCGACUGGGGUGAAGUCGUAACAAGGUAGCCGUA